This 499-nucleotide ribosomal RNA is filed under the name uncultured Glomeromycotina. RNAcentral's name for it is "partial small subunit ribosomal RNA". It matches the Rfam family "Eukaryotic small subunit ribosomal RNA", at positions 591 to 1092 of the family's 1831-position model. Lineage: Eukaryota; Fungi; Glomeromycota. The record is from RNAcentral.
CCAAUAGCGUAUAUUAAAGUUGUUGCAGUUAAAAAGCUCGUAGUUGAAUUUCGGGAUCAGUACGCCGGUCGUGCCUUCGGUAUGCACUGGUGUCACUGGUUCCUCCCUUCUGACGAACCGUCAUGCCAUUCACUUGGUGUGGCGGGAAAUCAGGACUGUUACUUUGAAAAAAUUAGAGUGUUUAAAGCAGGCUCACGCUUGAAUACAUUAGCAUGGAAUAAUGAAAUAGGACGUUGAUCUUAUUUUGUUGGUUUCUAGGAUUGACGUAAUGAUUAAUAGGGAUAGUUGUGGGCAUUAGUAUUCAAUUGUCAGAGGUGAAAUUCUUGGAUUUAUUGAAGACUAACUACUGCGAAAGCAUUUGCCAAGGAUGUUUUCAUUAAUCAAGAACGAAAGUUAGGGGAUCGAAGACGAUCAGAUACCGUCGUAGUCUUAACCAUAAACUAUGCCGACUAGGGAUCGGAUGAUGUUAAUUUUUUAAUGACUCAUUCGGCGCCUUACG